AUCAAUGGCCACACCAUCCAGAACACACCCGGUCACGGUUGAUCCCGGAAACUAAGCAGGGUCGGGCCUGGUUGGUACUGAAACAGGACAAAGGGCUAGGGAGCAUAUUGCUU
RNAcentral lists this ribosomal RNA (113 nucleotides) under Microtus ochrogaster (prairie vole). Lineage: Eukaryota; Metazoa; Chordata; Mammalia; Rodentia; Cricetidae. The record is from RNAcentral.